GAUGAACGCUGGCGGCGUGCCUAAUACAUGCAAGUCGAGCGAACAGAUGAGGAGCUUGCUCCUCUGACGUUAGCGGCGGACGGGUGAGUAACACGUGGAUAACCUACCUAUAAGACUGGGAUAACUUCGGGAAACCGGAGCUAAUACCGGAUAAUAUAUUGAACCGCAUGGUUCAAUAGUGAAAGACGGUUUUGCUGUCACUUAUAGAUGGAUCCGCGCCGCAUUAGCUAGUUGGUAAGGUAACGGCUUACCAAGGCAACGAUGCGUAGCCGACCUGAGAGGGUGAUCGGCCACACUGGAACUGAGACACGGUCCAGACUCCUACGGGAGGCAGCAGUAGGGAAUCUUCCGCAAUGGGCGAAAGCCUGACGGAGCAACGCCGCGUGAGUGAUGAAGGUCUUCGGAUCGUAAAACUCUGUUAUUAGGGAAGAACAUAUGUGUAAGUAACUGUGCACGUCUUGACGGUACCUAAUCAGAAAGCCACGGCUAACUACGUG
RNAcentral lists this ribosomal RNA (497 nucleotides) under uncultured bacterium. Its description in RNAcentral is "partial 16S ribosomal RNA". It matches the Rfam family "Bacterial small subunit ribosomal RNA", at positions 28 to 507 of the family's 1533-position model. The record is from RNAcentral.